UUUGGCAUAAUGAUGAUUUAAAACAAAAAGCCGUUUACCCAACUGAGGGCUUCCUUGAAGUAACUUGGUGUCUGAUGUGUGCCAUA
Molecule: small nucleolar RNA, 86 nt
Filed under: Phascolarctos cinereus (koala)
Lineage: Eukaryota; Metazoa; Chordata; Mammalia; Diprotodontia; Phascolarctidae
Description: Small nucleolar RNA SNORD87 (ENSPCIG00000026654.2)
Source: RNAcentral